UACGUAGGCAGCGAGCGUUGUUCGGAGUUACUGGGCGUAAAGGGUGUGUAGGCGGUUUCUUAAGUUUGGUGUGAAAUCUCCCGGCUUAACUGGGAGGGUGCGCCGAAUACUGAGAGGCUCGAGUGCGGGAGAGGAGAGUGGAAUUCCUGGUGUAGCGGUGAAAUGCGUAGAUAUCAGGAGGAACACCGGUGGUGUAGACGGCUCUCUGGACCGUAACUGACGCUGAGACACGAAAGCGUGGGUAGCAAACAGG
This 253-nucleotide ribosomal RNA is filed under the name uncultured bacterium. RNAcentral describes it as "partial 16S ribosomal RNA". It matches the Rfam family "Bacterial small subunit ribosomal RNA", at positions 524 to 776 of the family's 1533-position model. The record is from RNAcentral.